Molecule: ribosomal RNA, 456 nt
Filed under: uncultured bacterium
Lineage: Bacteria
Description: bacterial SSU rRNA
Rfam family: Bacterial small subunit ribosomal RNA
Source: RNAcentral
UAGUCCACGCCGUAAACGAUGUCUACUAGCUGUAGGGGUACUUGAGACCUUUGUAGCGCAGCUAACGCACUAAGUAGACCGCCUGGGGAGUACGGCCGCAAGGUUAAAACUCAAAUGAAUUGACGGGGGCCCGCACAAGCAGUGGAGCAUGUGGUUUAAUUCGAUGCAACGCGAAGAACCUUACCAGGCCUUGACAUCCCCGGAACUUUCUAGAGAUAGAUUGGUGCCUUCGGGAACCGGGUGACAGGUGCUGCAUGGCUGUCGUCAGCUCGUGUCGUGAGAUGUUGGGUUAAGUCCCAUAACGAGCGCAACCCUUGUCCUUAGUUGCCAGCACGUAAUGGUGGGAACUCUAAGGAGACUGCCGGUGACAAACCGGGAGGAAGGUGGGGACGACGUCAAGUCAUCAUGGCCCUUACGGGCCUGGGGCUACACACGUGCUACAAUGGUAGAGACAGA